Molecule: ribosomal RNA, 396 nt
Filed under: uncultured bacterium
Lineage: Bacteria
Description: partial 16S ribosomal RNA
Rfam family: Bacterial small subunit ribosomal RNA
Source: RNAcentral
AAUAUUGCGCAAUGGGGGGAACCCUGACGCAGCAACGCCGCGUGAGCGAGGAAGGCCUNCGGGUCNUNAAGCUCUGUCUAGAGGGNAGAUAGUGACAGUACCUCUGGAGGAAGCCCCGUCUAACUACGUGCCAGCAGCCGCGGUAAUACGUAGGGGGCAAGCGUUGUCCGGAUUUACUGGGCGUAAAGGGCGCGUAGGCGGUAGCAUAAGUCAGAUGUGAAAGUACAGGGCACAACCGUGGAAUUGCAUUUGAAACUGUCCUACUUGAGUGCAGGAGAGGAGAGCGGAAUUCCUAGUGUAGCGGUGAAAUGCGUAGAGAUUAGGAAGAACAACAGUGGCGAAGGCGGCUCUCUGGACUGUAACUGACGCUGAGGCGCGAAAGCGUGGGUAGCGAAC